GCGCUUGGCUUGGCAGCACAUAGGCUAGAAUUGGAAGGAUACAGAGAUUAGCGCGUGCCCUGAGCAAGGUGACACACAGAUCCGUGAAGUGUUCCAUAUUUAA
Molecule: small nuclear RNA, 103 nt
Organism: Pteronotus mesoamericanus
Lineage: Eukaryota; Metazoa; Chordata; Mammalia; Chiroptera; Mormoopidae
Source: RefSeq, a predicted model, not a curated record